GUAAAACUAAAAAAUCAACCAGCUAACUAGAUGUAAGCAAGAGCUGCACUGCAUGUGCAUCUAUCUACAGCUAGCUGCUGUGCUACAACGCAGUGGAGUAUAUUGUGCACGAAAAACAUUUCAUCGUCAUUGUGCCCCAGUCAUCGUAUAAAACAUCUUUUUACAGUGAAGGACGACACUCAGGUAGAAUUCGAUUUCAAUCAAUCAACCCAUCCUCUAAUAUUUAUAUAAUUUAAUUUGUGAUCAUAAAGCGUGUAAAAUAACUGACUAAUGUUAGAAGCAACUAAAUAGACCUAGAGUCUACUCAUAGUCGUCAUAUUUUGCCAAGCAUUGCAGUGAACUGUGCGAGGUCAAGUUAGUAGAUCUAUUAUUUAUUUAGAGUUCACAACGUAAUAGAUUGUAUCCUAACAAAAGUCGGUAUAUUUAUUAUCUCUCAUAAUGCAGUAUGCUGCUCAGCAAAUGUUAUUAUUCCCAUUCGCAUGAAUACAAAAUGUGAAUCAAUGUUGGUGAAAAAUCGCACAUCCUACUGCAGUGCACACAUUGUUAAUGCCCACACAGGGCCAGUACAUGAGUAGUGAACAAGCAU
Lytechinus variegatus (green sea urchin) is the source of this 586-nucleotide long non-coding RNA. RefSeq lists it as uncharacterized. The record is from RefSeq and is a predicted model, not a curated record. The transcript is spliced from 2 exons. Lineage: Eukaryota; Metazoa; Echinodermata; Echinoidea; Temnopleuroida; Toxopneustidae.